This 454-nucleotide ribosomal RNA is filed under the name uncultured bacterium. Its description in RNAcentral is "bacterial SSU rRNA". It matches the Rfam family "Bacterial small subunit ribosomal RNA", at positions 8 to 442 of the family's 1533-position model. The record is from RNAcentral.
AGAGUUUGAUCCUGGCUCAGGACGAACGCUGGCGGCGUGCCUAACACAUGCAAGUCGAACGGGCCGCCUUGAAGCGAGACUUCGGUCAAGCGGAGAGGUUGCCUAGUGGCGGACGGGUGAGUAACGCGUGAGCAACCUGCCCUUCGGUGGGGGAUAACAGCUGGAAACGGCUGCUAAUACCGCAUGACGUACGUUAGGGGCAUCCUUGACGUACCAAAGGCGCAAGCCGCCGAAGGAUGGGCUCGCGUCCGAUUAGCUAGUUGGUGAGGUAACGGCUCACCAAGGCGACGAUCGGUAGCCGGACUGAGAGGUUGUACGGCCACAUUGGGACUGAGACACGGCCCAGACUCCUACGGGAGGCAGCAGUGGGGAAUAUUGGGCAAUGGGCGAAAGCCUGACCCAGCGACGCCGCGUGAAGGAAGAAGGCCUUCGGGUUGUAAACUUCUUUGACGAG